RNAcentral lists this ribosomal RNA (586 nucleotides) under uncultured bacterium. RNAcentral's name for it is "partial 16S ribosomal RNA". It matches the Rfam family "Bacterial small subunit ribosomal RNA", at positions 355 to 1375 of the family's 1533-position model. The record is from RNAcentral.
UGGGGAAUUUUGGACAAUGGGCGAAAGCCUGAUCCAGCAAUGCCGCGUGUGUGAAGAAGGCCUUCGGGUUGUAAAGCACUUUUGUCCGGAAAGAAAUCCUUGGCUCUAAUACAGUCGGGGGAUGACGGUACCGGAAGAAUAAGCACCGGCUAACUACGUGCCAGCAGCCGCAGUAAUACGUAGGGUGCAAGCGUUAAUCGGAAUUACUGGGCGUAAAGCGUGCGCAGGCGGUUUGCUAAGACCGAUGUGAAAUCCCCGGGCUCAACCUGGGAACUGCAUUGGUGACUGGCAGGCUAGAGUAUGGCAGAGGGGGGUAGAAUUCCACGUGUAGCAAGUGAAAUGCGUAGAGAUGUGGAGGAAUACCGAUGGCGAAGGCAGCCCCCUGGGCCAAUACUGACGCUCAUGCACGAAAGCGUGGGGAGCAAACAGGAUUAGAUACCCUGGUAGUCCACGCCCUAAACGAUGUCAACUAGUUGUUGGGGAUUCAUUUCCUUAGUAACGUAGCUAACGCGUGAAGUUGACCGCCUGGGGAGUACGGUCGCAAGAUUAAAACUUAAAGGAAUUGACGGGGUCAUAGCUGUUUCCU